Molecule: long non-coding RNA, 4837 nt
Filed under: Triticum aestivum (bread wheat)
Lineage: Eukaryota; Viridiplantae; Streptophyta; Magnoliopsida; Poales; Poaceae
Description: long non-coding RNA (TAES_LNC000537)
Source: RNAcentral
GAUUUUGCACUCUGAAGCCUAAACCCAUGGUAAGUCAGUUGAUCGUGCGUUCGGUGGCACGUUUUGCACAGAUAUAGAAUAACGGAACAGGAAAGAUAACUUGAUCCAAGCAAACACCGGUACAACGCCGGCUACUUAAAUCGAUCGAAAGUUCAGGAUUACAUCAACAACACUGACAUCCAUCCAAAAGAUCUCCCUCUCGACUCAGCCACACCUAAAAACCUGCCUUGGGAACAGCCAAACACUACAAUCCAUCACACUUCAGAGUUCAGAGACCUCAGACUCCCGCUGCCAGAAUCACCACCUCUCCCAGCUUAAUCGACCUCCUCGAUCUUGGGCCCAGCACCGCUUCCACCGGCCGGCGCAUCCUCGCCACCCAUGCCUCCCAUGUCGGCGCCAACGCCCUGGUACAUCUUGGCGAUGAUGGGGUUGCAGACGCCCUCCAGCUCCUUCAUCUUGUCCUCCAACUCGUCCACCUCCGCGAGCUGGUUGGUGUCGAGCCAGCUGAUGGCGCCGUCGAUGGCGUCCUCGAUCUUCUUCUUGUCGGCGGCCGGGAGCUUGGACGCGAUCUUGUCGUCCUUGAUGGUGUUCCUCAUGUUGUAGGCGUAGUUCUCCAGCGCGUUCUUGGCCUCCACCUUCUUCUUCAGCUCCUCGUCCUCCGCCUUGUACCGCUCCGCCUCCUGCACCAUCUUCUCGAUGUCCUCCUUGCUCAGCCGCCCCUUGUCGUUGGUGAUGGUGAUCUUGUUCUUCACGCCGGCGGUCUUGUCCUCGGCCGACACGUUGAGGAUGCCGUUGGCGUCGAUGUCGAAGCAGACGGUGAUCUGGGGCACGCCGCGGGGCGCCGGGGGGAUGCCGGACAGCUCGAACUUGCCCAGCAGGUUGUUGUCCUUGGUCCGCGCGCGCUCGCCCUCGAACACCUGGAUCAGCACGCCCGGCUGAUUGUCCGAGUAGGUGGAGAAGAUCUGCUCCUUCUUGGUCGGGAUGGUGGUGUUCCGCGGGAUGAGCGUGGUCAUCACGCCGCCGGCGGUCUCCAGGCCGAGGGACAGCGGGGUGACGUCCAGCAGGAGCAGGUCCUGCACCUUCUCAUUGCCCUCGCCGCUGAGGAUGGCGGCCUGCACGGCGGCGCCGUAGGCCACGGCCUCGUCGGGGUUGAUGCUCUUACACAGCUCCUUGCCGUUGAAGAAGUCCUGGAGCAGCUGCUGCACCUUGGGGAUGCGGGUGGAGCCGCCGACGAGCACGACGUCGUGCACGGUGCUCUUGUCCAUCUUGGCGUCGCGCAGGCACUUCUCCACGGGCUCCAUGCACUUGCGGAAGAGGUCCAUGUUGAGCUCCUCGAACCGGGCCCUGGUGAUGGUCGAGUAGAAGUCGACGCCCUCGUACAGCGAGUCGAUCUCGAUGGUGGUCUGGGCGGUGGACGACAGGGUGCGCUUGGCGCGCUCACAGGCCGUGCGCAGCCGGCGCAGCGCGCGAGGGUUGCCGCUGAUGUCCUUCUUGUGCUUGCGCUUGAACUCCUGGACGAAGUGGUUCACCAUGCGGUUGUCGAAGUCCUCGCCGCCGAGGUGGGUGUCGCCGGCGGUGGCCUUCACCUCGAAGAUGCCCUCCUCGAUGGUGAGCAGCGACACAUCGAAGGUGCCGCCACCAAGGUCGAAGAUGAGCACGUUCUUCUCGCCGGAGCUGCUGGCCUUCUUGUCCAGGCCGUAGGCUAUGGCGGCGGCAGUGGGCUCGUUGAUGAUGCGCAUCACGUUGAGGCCGGCGAUGACCCCGGCGUCCUUGGUGGCCUGCCGCUGCGAGUCGUUGAAGUAGGCCGGCACCGUGACGACGGCGUUCUUGAUGGUGGUGCCGAGGUAGGCCUCGCCGAUCUCCUUCAUCUUGAUGAGCACCAUCGAGGAGAUCUCCUCGGCGGCGAACUGCUUCUCCUCGCCCUUGUACUGGACGACGAUCAUCGGCUUGUCAGCAGGGCCUGGGAUGACCUUGAACGGCCACAGCUUCAUGUCGCUCUGCACCGACGGGUCGGUGAACCGCCUGCCGAUCAGCCGCUUGGCAUCUGCAAUAGUGAUAUAACAAGACUGUGAGUCAAACUGUUCCAUUUGCGCUCAAAUUAAUCAAACUCAUCUGGGAACAAAAAGCAAAUAAGCAGAGCAACAGCAGAGUUUUGACAUGCUCCAAACAGGAAACUGAAAUUUACCCACAAUGCUGUCCUGCCCCAAAACAAAUAGUUUCAACAGAAACAGCCAACCCAACAAGUUAUCUUCCUUUCCAUUGUUGACCCAUUGUUUUCUCGUAUCUCUGCUAGGAGUACUCGUUAAGCCCAGCAAACAAAUUUAGACAAACAAAAUUCAGAGCAACAGCAUUACAGUUCCAAACAGGAAACUGAAAUUUACCCACGAUGUUCUCCUGUCCCCAAACAAUUGUUUCAACAGAAACAGCCAACCCAAGGAGUUGUCAUCCUAUCCAUUGUUGACCCGUGAACAGUUUUCAACAUAGAAAUCUUAAUCAGCAAAGCUUUUGACAGAAUACUACUGGAACUAAGGGGAUUUUAAGCUUAGACCAGAUUAAUUGCAUAUAUUUCCGUCAGUUUGUCGAAUACACGACGAUGCAGAAUAGGACAAUGCCAGCGAUUAGACACAUGUCCAGUUGGUUUUACAUUCCUCUGCUACUUGUUAAGCCCAGUAAACAAAUUGAUUUGCACUGCGAUACUAGCGUCCCUACGAGGAAUUGGGUCCAAACAGAAUCAGUGGCAAGCCAAGCACGAACACGAGAUGAUCCAUCUAUCUAAGCUAGUAGAAGAGGAGCGGUGCAGGAGGACGUACCGAAGACGGUGUUGGUGGGGUUCAUGGCGACCUGGUUCUUGGCGGCGUCGCCGAUGAGGCGCUCGGUGUCGGUGAAGCCGACGUAGGAGGGCGUGGUGCGGUUGCCCUGGUCAUUCGCGAUGAUCUCCACCCGGUCGUGCUGCCACACGCCGACGCACGAGUAGGUGGUGCCCAGGUCGAUGCCGAUCGCCGGCCCCUCUCCUCCCUUCGCCAUCUCCUCUCUAAACUCGAACGGGGAAACGGGAACUCCAAGAUGAAAUCGGAGCUAAGAACUCGAGAUCUGAGGGAAAUCGCUUGAUUGCUAGAACGCGUUGGGAAUCGCGAUGGAACUGAUGGAUCCUAGGGACGAACACGGGGCGCGGGUUUUAUUUGGGAUGCUGGGAUUUUUCGAGAAUGUUCGGGGAGGGGCGCGCUCUGUUCUCGAAGCCGCUCGAGUGGUGCGGUAUGCCUGACGGUUGGCGUUGGAGAGGAGGAAGACGCGGACCGGUGAGACCAGCCUUUGACCCUGUCUCGUAGGUUCUACAGCGAACGGCUAUGUUCCGGCUGCUGGGCUUUCUUGGUGGGCUGGGUCUCGUACAUGUCUCAUUUUUCACUCAAGGGUGUUUUUCUUGCCAAAAAAAAAAACUCAAGGGUGUUUUUCUCCUUUUGGGUAGAAAUAUACGGCCCAUUAUUGCAGAUCAGCCAUACAUUUGCCACAACGAUAUUCUUCACUAUUUGUAUUCUAGCCAUAGUUUAAAAAACCGGACCGAACCGGCGGUCGAACCGGAAAAAAGGGAACUGGCGGCCUCAGCGGUUGUCUAAGCUAAUAAGACCGUUCUGCAAUCAGACCGGAGAAAACUGGUCGAACCGGCUGGUUUUCUGGAAAACCGGUAGAAAAACCGGGCCAUUGAACCAUGAAAAAUCAGGAAUAUGUUUCAAUAGAAAUUGGGAAAGUGGGAUUCAAUCCCAUGUCGUGUGAGCAGUACGCGGGACCUGCCCACGGCCCAAUAACCAACUCGGAUGUCCUACUUUGUUGUCCACUACAUGGAAAUAAAUAUAUUUGACCAUUGUUUCACACUAUAUUAGCGCAUAUAUUACUCAACAUAUAUUAUUUUAUUGCUUAAAAACACCGACAAUCGAACCGGUGAACCGGCGGUCCGAUCGGUAAAAACCUGAACCGACAACCUUUCCGGUUCGAUGUCCGGUUCGGUUUUUUAAACUAUGAUUCUAGCAAAGCAUUCCUACUCUUUGAUACUAUUGCAUAUGCUUGAGUUGCUACUGCUGCUGUUGCUACUAAUGUUACUACUGUUGUUACUCUGCUACUAUUGCUAUCAAUGUUAUGAUGUUACUGUGCUACUAAUAAAUUUUCAUAUCAGCCAAGUAGUUGGCUUGUUUUUCUCUUUGUCGCUUGAGGAAUUGUCUCCUGUGAAGUAGGUUUGGCUGUACAAUUUUGUAGUAUUGGUGUUAGCUGGUUUUAGCCCUGGAAUCGGAGUUUCGAAUGCGAGCUCCAAGUGGCAGGUUUCCUGCUAGUGCCCCAGCUCACUUUCUCCCCUCUACCUUAUUCUCCUAAUCAUGGUGUAGUCGCUGCUUUAGGUUAUGGUAAUAGACUUUGUAUUUCCGUUAAGAAAUUAAUGGAAAAGGGAAAAGGCCCGGUUGAAAACAAAAAUGGUGCAAGGAAGUGAUUCUCGGGUGUGGUUGAAUCGAUAAGUCAACUGGUAAGUCUUAUAAAUAUUCUUCGGUUUCCCUUGUAUCGAAUCAAUAUAUUUGGGUGAAAUACUACUCUCGAAGACUGUUGUGAUCCCCUAUACUUCUGGGUCAUCGGAAGCAUGGUAGCAUGCACCAUUGAGGGCCGAGAUGCACAUGCACGUUUAGAGCCAGGCCGAAGGGUGAGUAGUCAUGCACAUGCCAUGUGAAGCGUGAACCGCCAAUGAGGUAUUUUGGCACUUGGUAAAGUGUUCAAGACAUGUGCCUAUGGAAAACAUAGCAGAUGUGACCUCAUGAGACACCGAUGCAAAGGUGGAUGUGAGCUUGGAUAGGACGUCGAUGUC